Molecule: ribosomal RNA, 468 nt
Filed under: uncultured bacterium
Lineage: Bacteria
Description: partial 16S ribosomal RNA
Rfam family: Bacterial small subunit ribosomal RNA
Source: RNAcentral
GACGAACGCUGGCGGCGUGCUUAACACAUGCAAGUCGAACGGAAAGGCCCUGCUUUUGUGGGGUGCUCGAGUGGCGAACGGGUGAGUAACACGUGAGUAACCUGCCCUUGACUUUGGGAUAACUUCAGGAAACUGGGGCUAAUACCGGAUAGGAGCUCCUGCUGCAUGGUGGGGGUUGGAAAGUUUCGGCGGUUGGGGAUGGACUCGCGGCUUAUCAGCUUGUUGGUGGGGUAGUGGCUUACCAAGGCUUUGACGGGUAGCCGGCCUGAGAGGGUGACCGGCCACAUUGGGACUGGGAUACGGCCCAGACUCCUACGGGAGGCAGCAGUGGGGAAUAUUGCACAAUGGGCGGAAGCCUGAUGCAGCAACGCCGCGUGCGGGAUGACGGCCUUCGGGUUGUAAACCGCUUUCGCCUGUGACGAAGCGUGAGUGGCGGUAAUGGGUAAAGAAGCACCGGCUAACUACGUG